ACGUAGGUGACGAGCGUUGUUCGGAAUUAUUGGGCGUAAAGGGUUCGUAGGAGGUUUAUUAAGAUUGGUGUGAAAUCCCAAGGCUCAACCUUGGAACUGCAUUGAUUACUGAUGAACUAGAGUGUCGUAGAGGAAAGCGGAAUUCCAGGUGUAGCGGUGGAAUGGGUAAAUAACUGGAAGGAGACCCACAGCGAAGGGGAGUAACUAGGCGAUAACUGCCUGUGAGGAACGAGAGCAUGGCGAGCAAAAAG
This 251-nucleotide ribosomal RNA is filed under the name uncultured prokaryote. Its description in RNAcentral is "partial 16S rRNA". It matches the Rfam family "Bacterial small subunit ribosomal RNA", at positions 525 to 775 of the family's 1533-position model. The record is from RNAcentral.